ACUCAACUAAGCCUUAAUCCCAAAAAUUUGGAGUCAGCUCAUGAGGUGAACAUAGCCUUAAAAUAUUUUUAGCCAGAGCAAAAUAGUGGGAAUAAUAUCUUCAAUCAGUUUGCAGCAAAUAGCAGAUCUUAUGUAGUCACCAUGGGAAUGCAAAAGAUAAAUAAUGGUCAUAAAUCAUAAAUUGAUGUAAAUAUCAACUUACGUUUUACCAAAAACAACUCAAUAUCUUUAAUAGUAAUUCACACUAACAUGCAAUACAUCACAGAUGUGAAGCAAAAGUAUACC
Molecule: unclassified non-coding RNA, 285 nt
Filed under: Hevea brasiliensis (rubber tree)
Lineage: Eukaryota; Viridiplantae; Streptophyta; Magnoliopsida; Malpighiales; Euphorbiaceae
Source: RNAcentral